This 205-nucleotide unclassified non-coding RNA is filed under the name uncultured fungus. Its description in RNAcentral is "sequence contains ITS1, 5.8S rRNA gene". The record is from RNAcentral. Lineage: Eukaryota; Fungi.
UUAACUAUUAGAUAGUACUCAGACGACACUAACAUUCAGAGUUUUAGGUCCUCUGACACGCGCGAGCCAGCCGGAGCCGGUGCCCAGAGGGCGGCGUGCCAAAGCAACAAAUAUAUAAUACGCAAAGGGUGGUAUAGAAGACCCCAGCCCAGAGGGCCAGGGGACUAUAACUUUAAUGAUCCUUCCGCAGGUUCACCUACGGAAA